Molecule: long non-coding RNA, 823 nt
Organism: Sciurus carolinensis (gray squirrel)
Lineage: Eukaryota; Metazoa; Chordata; Mammalia; Rodentia; Sciuridae
Exons: 3
Source: RefSeq, a predicted model, not a curated record
GUGAGAUCAGAAGAUUCAGCCUCAUCCAUUCAUUCAUUUCAGUAUUCGGUAUUUAGUAUGUGCUGUGUUCUCCAGGCCCUGUCCUAGGCGUGCGAUUCAGGGGUGUACUGUGUGUAUGAGGAAGAAAGAUCUGUGCUGAUGAGGAAACUGAGGCCCAGAGUGAGUAAAUUGCUAACCAUGGGACUACUAGAAAGCUGCAGGGAAAAGAUUCAAAUUUGCCCUUGCAGAGACAAAAAUGGGAGUUGGAGAGAAGAAAGAAAAUGCUGAGCUGGGUGAUGGAGUUGAAUAUCCCAGAGCUGAAAGAAUCUGAGAGGUGGUCUAGCUCACUCACUCAUUUGUUGGGUAUUCCUACCCAAGCCUAACUCUGUGUAGGGAAGUGAGGAUGAGGAAUGAUCAGACUUGGUCCCUGCCUUCAUGGAGCUCACAGUCUAGGGGACAAAGGGGGUGACUUGGGGGUGAGGUAAGAAGUUUAAUGAAUGAUUGUGCUCCCAAGUCUCUGAGCUGGGGACUGAGUGUUCCCUGGGACAGUAGUGGGCAGAGGAGGUGAAACCUCUUCAGCUUGCAGAAGUCAGAAAACACUGCCAGAGGAAGAAUCUACUCAGAGUAAAUGGAAGUUCAACAGCUGAUAAAGAAGGAAACAGCUGGAGAGUAUAAGCACAGAUGCUGCAGAGUGACUCAGUCAUUCCAAUCUCCAAAUACCUGUGUCCUACCUUACAGUGUUAAGGUAAAGAUGGCCCAGGGGGAUGGUACUGGCACCAAAAUGGACAGGUAGAUCAGUGGUACAGAAUAAAGGACACAGACACAAACCCAAAUAAAUACAAUU